GCGGUGGCAGGGGUUAGGGCAGGAGGGGACACCCAGGGCCUAAGAACCAAGAGGCCCAGCGCUGACGAGGCGGCCAGGUUCCAGAGGUCACUGCUGCAGGACGGUAAGCCCCUGGCAAUUGUUAAAACGAUCGAUGCAGCCACAGCCCUUGGCCUGCCGGUUCCUUGCUCCCAGACGUCAGGGACAUGUAGCCGGGGUGCCCCAGAGCCCCUCAAGGAUUCUCCCACUACCAAGCAAGCCAGAGCUCCACACCCAACAGGAGAGACACAGCCAUGGAUACCUCAGCCUGUGCCCUGGACACAUUGUUCCAGCUCCCAGAGCUGCCAGAGGGGAACCCGAAGUUCCCGGGAAUCCCAAACCAUCACUCACCUUCCCCACGAGCUUGCCUUUGCGGUUCAUGCACAGGUAGAAUUCCGUCUCCUUGCCCUUGAUCCGGACUUGACUACCGAAGGUGUCUGUCUCCACUAGGAGCUGGGCUUCGAAAGGCAGAAGGAGAACAAGACACAUUUUAUUACCAGGGGCAAUGGCUUGGUCUAAAGGCUCAGUGACAUGGUCCCUGGUCCUAUCUUUGGUCCCUCACUCCCCCAAAAUCAGGCAUGGGGAGGCCUAACAAGUCCCACAGGACAGAUGCCUAAAUAACCACAGAGAAGUCAGAGAAGUAGCUGUCCCCUGCCCCUCAGGCAGGGAGAUGGAAGCUGCCUAUCACCUGUUCCCUUUCCUCCAGCCUCUCUUGGCUCCACUUGGGAUCCAGAUGGCUCCAGCCAGAAGGGAGUUCUGCCCCCUGUGGCUGAACACCAGUGUGCCCUUCUACCCAUCGUCACCCACCUUCCCUAGCCCCUCAACUCUAUUCCACCAAACAGGACAAAGAACCGUGCAAAAAACCCAUUUCCCAAAGCAGGACAGACGGCCAUACAAAAAGGCCAUUCUCCCAAGCAGGACAGGCGGCCAUGCAAAUAACCCCAUCCCCCAAACCCAAAGCAAGACAGACAAUCACAAAAAUAACCCCAUUCCCCAAAUCAGGACAGAUGCCAUACAAAUAACCACAGAGAAGUAGCUAAGGGGACCAAGGGGACAGAUAGAUACAGAUGCAGGCAUGUGCACGCACACCUCCCCUGCCUUUCAGGACGUCAAGCUAUUUCCUCCAAAAGUUAGGUCUGUGGCCCCUUCCUGCAGGGCAAACAUCUGGAGCCCCUGCUAGUGCCCCCGGCACCUUUAACCUGCCUAUUCAUAGCAGGAAGGGCACAGGGAGUGAGGUGCGAGCUCCCUAGGAAAGGGUAUGCAGGAUAUUCCACUGCCGUCCAUGGAGGCCACCAAAGCUGAAGGGUAACUAACUCCCAGGAGCCCAGAAAUCCCAAUCAGGACCGGAUCCCCACUGGGAUUCCCCCCAGGGUGGGAGACCCCAUGCUACACCAUCCAUGCUCCACAGAGCCUCCCUCAGGAUGAGGGGUCCAGAGCUGAUCCCCCAAAGCCCUGCCUGAACAAGGACAUCAAGCAGGCAAAGAGUGACUGUCCCUUGAUUAGGUAUGCUGUGUCCAAAUCUUUUCCUCUCACUCCACCAGCCCACAUUUUUCUCCCCAGUACGCUGCUGCGUGACUUUGGGUAGGCCACGCGCCCUCUCUUAGCUCUCUCUCCUCUCUGGUCUUAAACCGCUGUGCCUGACUCCCCAGUACCAGCUGCUUUAUUUGCCUGUGACCGCCCCACUCCCAAUUCGUGCACUCUUUUCCCUGACCCCUUGCUUCCUAGCCCCUGCCCCUCCCUCACCCACAAAAGUUUAAUUUCAGUGACAAGGGACUUGCUUCUCCAUAACAAAAAUCAUAGCCCCAAAUUCCUGAGUACAGUAUCCUUGGAGCCACAAAGAGUAUACCUCAGUGCCCCUAAAAUACACUAGGUAUGAUUUUAAUAAAAAAAUUUACAAAUAUAGACCCUGGUGCCCUGCUGUGAAAAUUAAAACCAUCUGGAACUUGAGAUUUCCAAUAAUUAAUCUAGCCCUCCUUUGACACCACUACUAAUUAAAAUACGAUACCCACCUUUCCAAGAGGGAAAAAAAGAAGAAUUUACAUAAAAU
This 2065-nucleotide long non-coding RNA is filed under the name Homo sapiens (human). RNAcentral's name for it is "HSALNT0097685". Lineage: Eukaryota; Metazoa; Chordata; Mammalia; Primates; Hominidae. The record is from RNAcentral.